UACGGGGGGGACAAGCGCUGGUAGGACUUACUGGGCGUAAAGGGCGCGUAGGCGGGUGGACAAGUCUCUCGUGAAAGCCCACGGCUCAACCGUGGAAAUGCGGGAGAUACUGUCUGUCUUGAGUCCGGGAGAGGAGGGUGGAAUUCCCAGUGUAGCGGUGAAAUGCGUAGAUAUUGGGAGGAACACCGGUGGCGAAGGCGGCUCUCUGGACCGGUACUGACGCUGAGGCGCGAAAGCUAGGGGAGCAAACGGG
RNAcentral lists this ribosomal RNA (253 nucleotides) under uncultured bacterium. RNAcentral describes it as "partial 16S ribosomal RNA". It matches the Rfam family "Bacterial small subunit ribosomal RNA", at positions 524 to 776 of the family's 1533-position model. The record is from RNAcentral.